This 63-nucleotide transfer RNA is filed under the name Staphylinoidea sp. 10 KM-2017. RNAcentral describes it as "tRNA-Glu". Lineage: Eukaryota; Metazoa; Arthropoda; Insecta; Coleoptera. The record is from RNAcentral.
AUUUGUGUAAUUUAAUAAAAAUAUUAUAUUUUCAUUAUAACAUUAGAGAUUCUCUCACAAAUA